Anolis sagrei ordinatus is the source of this 104-nucleotide small nuclear RNA. The record is from RefSeq and is a predicted model, not a curated record. NCBI's taxonomy places the organism in Eukaryota, Metazoa, Chordata, Lepidosauria, Squamata, Anolidae.
AUGAUUUUGGUAGCACAUAUACUAAUAUUGAAACAACACAGAGAAGAUUCGCAUGGCCCCUGCACAAGGAUAUCACACAAAGUCAUGAUGUGCUCUAUAUUUUU